RNAcentral lists this ribosomal RNA (301 nucleotides) under uncultured bacterium. Its description in RNAcentral is "partial 16S ribosomal RNA". It matches the Rfam family "Bacterial small subunit ribosomal RNA", at positions 509 to 809 of the family's 1533-position model. The record is from RNAcentral.
CAGUCGCCACGGUAAUACGUAGGUGGCAAGCGUUGUCCGGAAUUAUUGGGCGUAAAGGGCUCGCAGGCGGUUUCUUAAGUCUGAUGUGAAAGCCCCCGGCUCAACCGGGGAGGGUCAUUGGAAACUGGGAAACUUGAGUGCAGAAGAGGAGAGUGGAAUUCCACGUGUAGCGGUGAAAUGCGUAGAGAUGUGGAGGAGCACCAGUGGCGAAGGCGACUCUCUGGUCUGUAACUGACGCUGAGGAGCGAAAGCGUGGGGAGCGAACAGGAUUAGAUACCCCAGUAGUCCCUGUCUCUUAUAA